CCUACGGGAGGCAGCAGUGGGGAAUAUUGGACAAUGGGGGGAACCCUGAUCCAGCCAUGCCGCGUGUGUGAAGAAGGCCUUUUGGUUGUAAAGCACUUUAAGCGAGGAGGAGGCUACCGAGAUUAAUACUCUUGGAUAGUGGACGUUACUCGCAGAAUAAGCACCGGCUAACUCUGUGCCAGCAGCCGCGGUAAUACAGAGGGUGCAAGCGUUAAUCGGAUUUACUGGGCGUAAAGCGCGCGUAGGUGGCCAAUUAAGUCAAAUGUGAAAUCCCCGAGCUUAACUUGGGAAUUGCAUUCGAUACUGGUUGGCUAGAGUAUGGGAGAGGAUGGUAGAAUUCCAGGUGUAGCGGUGAAAUGCGUAGAGAUCUGGAGGAAUACCGAUGGCGAAGGCAGCCAUCUGGCCUAAUACUGACACUGAGGUGCGAAAGCAUGGGGAGCAAACAGGAUUAGAUACCCGGGUAGUC
Molecule: ribosomal RNA, 466 nt
Filed under: uncultured Acinetobacter sp.
Lineage: Bacteria; Pseudomonadati; Pseudomonadota; Gammaproteobacteria; Moraxellales; Moraxellaceae
Description: bacterial SSU rRNA
Rfam family: Bacterial small subunit ribosomal RNA
Source: RNAcentral